RNAcentral lists this ribosomal RNA (478 nucleotides) under uncultured bacterium. Its description in RNAcentral is "partial 16S ribosomal RNA". It matches the Rfam family "Bacterial small subunit ribosomal RNA", at positions 28 to 507 of the family's 1533-position model. The record is from RNAcentral.
GAUGAACGCUGGCGGCGUGCUUAACACAUGCAAGUCGAACGGGAAUUAUUUUAUUGAAACUUCGGUCGAUUUAAUUUACUUCUAGUGGCGGACGGGUGAGUAACGCGUGGGUAACCUGCCUUAUACAGGGGGAUAACAGUCAGAAAUGGCUGCUAAUACCGCAUAAGCGCACAGAGCUGCAUGGCUCAGUGUGAAAAACUCCGGUGGUAUAAGAUGGACCCGCGUUGGAUUAGCUGGUUGGUGGGGUAACGGCCCACCAAGGCGACGAUCCAUAGCCGGCCUGAGAGGGUGAACGGCCACAUUGGGACUGAGACACGGCCCAGACUCCUACGGGAAGCAGCAGUGGGGAAUAUUGCACAAUGGGGGAAACCCUGAUGCAGCGACGCCGCGUGAAGGAAGAAGUAUCUCGGUAUGUAAACUUCUAUCAGCAGGGAAGAUAGUGACGGUACCUGACUAAGAAGCCCCGGCUAACUACGUG